CUCAAAAGGGAGUGGGAGAGGUGUAUUCAAUGCUCAAGAGGUGUUUUGGCUUGGAUUUGUUCAGCAGCAAUGAAUUGGGCGGGGGGGCAGAGGGGGUAUUUAUACUCGAACCCCCAAAACUAGCCGUUAUAGUGCAUUUAUGUGCCUGUCGGAACUUCCGACGAAGUUAAAUUAAAAUGGUUGAGAGCCUCUCCUCGAAAGUUUGAAGAAACUUCCGGUGGCCUUUAUCGGAACUUCCGACACAGGGUCAGAACUUCCGAUACUGUUAGAUUAAAUCGGCCGAGGACCCCCCGGUUGGAAAUUUCUGAAUACUUCCGGACGAUGCCGGAACUUCUGACACUCACAGAAUCUGUGAGAAAAUAGAUGUGCAGGUUUGUGAUUUGUGUCUCUCAAGGAUGGUUAGCAUCUCAAUUGAGCAUUUUAACAUCUUCAAGCUAUCCAUCUGCAUCCCCCUUUAUAAUACGGUGUUCUAUACUCAAAUUAAAAAUUAGAAAAUAUAGAGAAAUCUUCUUUUGAGCUCAACACCGUCCUUUCUUUGAAAUUGGGGGUGCUUAAGGUUCUUUCCAUACACCUUUGCACUUCUUUAGAAUUAAAACCUGUCAGUUACUUGAUAAAUUCGUUAGUCCCUUAAUCAUGCAUGUCAUCAACACCAAAACCCACUUAGGAAGCCAAAUGCACUUUCAAUCUCCC
Molecule: long non-coding RNA, 690 nt
Filed under: Setaria viridis
Lineage: Eukaryota; Viridiplantae; Streptophyta; Magnoliopsida; Poales; Poaceae
Description: long non-coding RNA (SVIR_LNC010542)
Source: RNAcentral